GCAGUUAGAUUAAUGAUGGAAUCAUUACUCGAGAAUCGUGCACAUAAAUUGAGGGCAAUCAACGUAUUUAUGGCGAUAAAGUGCAAAAGCAAUAAUGUCGAUAAGUCAUUAGAGAUUGUAACUUGGAACAAUUCGUCUGGCGUUCCGGAAGUCAUGAAAGUCGUUAGUCGAACAUUUUGCGCUAUGACGUGCUGGCAGGUAAUUUUAAUAUUAAGUGCCUUAGGUCAUGCAGCACCGCGAAGCCUGGAGGUUUACCAACAUGAUGAAGAAAAAGUGGCCCAGGGUGUAAUCGAGGGGCUGGAUAGGGAGUACACGCUGAAAAAGCGUCAGGAAGCACUGGUUACGUACUUCUACAACGUUGACAUCAGUGAUGACAACUUGCACCGGAUGGUGGCCGCCGUAAUGGAGACCAGCCUUUUUUUGGGUAAAACCAAACGACAGUUGGAGGACUUCAGAUGGCAGGAUUUUAGAAAUGAGACGCUAAAACGGCUUUUUUAUAAAAUGAAUAGUAACGUUGGCAGCGCUGUUUUACCUGAGCACAAACUUGGUUCGUAUCUGAAUCUUCUGGUUAAUCUGAAGAAACGAUAUUCCAAUGCGGUUGUGUGCAGAUACAAUGAUGAUACUGAUUGUACAGUGACGUUAUCGGAUAUUUCAAAUAUUAUGGCUACCUCGAGGGAUCAGGCGGAAUUACUUUAUUACUGGAAAAUAUGGCGAAAUGCAACGGGUGCACCGGUUUUGGAAGAAAUGCAUCAACUUUUCGAAAUCAAUAACGAAAUUGCUAAUUUACUAAAUUUUUCUAACGCUGCCGAUAUGUGGAUUAGCCAGUACGAAUCAAAUACGUUCGAAAGUGACAUUAUGAACCUUUGGUCUGAUAUCAAACCUCUGUACACACAAUUGCACGCUUAUGUACGAAGGAAAUUGCGAAAGAUUUAUGGCGGUAAAACUAUAACCGAGGAUGGCACAAUACCUGCCCAUUUGUUAGGAAAUAUGUGGGGACAAAAGUGGCUGGUAUAUAAAUUAACAGCACCUUAUCCACUCAACAAUUAUCCAAACGUGACGGAUAGACUAUUGAAAAAGAAUUUUACGGUUAAAUGCAUGGCUCAGGUUGCGGAAGAAUUUUUUCAAAAUCUCAACCAAGUGAGUCUCAGUUCAAGAUUUUGGGAAAAAAGUAUUCUGGAAAAACCAGAAGACAGAGAGAUUUCAUGUCAGGCCUCAGCAUGGGAUUUAUUCACUGGAAAAGAUUAUCGAUUAAAAAUGUGUCUGACUGUCAAUGCCGCUAAUUUUUUGAGUCUUCAUCACGAAAUGGCCCAUAUACAUUAUUUUAUGGAGUAUCGACAACAACCGACACUAUUUCACGAAGAACUCAAUCCAGGAUUUUCGGAGGCUGUGGGAGAUGCAGUUGUUUUGGCAGCUGGUACAAACAGACACCUGCAGAGCAUAGGUUUACUGACCAGGCACGUCGAGGUCAGAGAAGCAAUGAUAAAUUACUUAUUCAAUAUCGCACUAAACAAAAUCACUGAGCUGCCAUACGCCCUCAUUAUGGAUUUGCAUCGAUGGAAUAUAUUCAGGAACGCUUAUAACUUGGACAACUAUAAUUGCGAAUGGUGGAAACUGAGAGAAAAAUUCCAAGGUAUCAGUUCACCUGUGAAACGCAGUAAUUUAGAUUUUGAUCCAGCAUCCAAGCAUCAUGUUAUUGCGAACAAACCAUACAUCAGUUACUUCGUGAGCAUCAUUCAACAAUUUCAACUCUACAAAACAUUAUGCAUCAAGGCUAAUCAGUACGAUCCACAAGAUCCAAUGGAUCCUCAUAAGCUAUUACACAACUGUGAUUUCUCCUCUAGUAUUUACGCUGGAAAAUAUCUCAAAGAACUCUUAGGAUAUGGCAGUUCCCAGCCUUGGCAUCGUAUCAUGAAAAUAUUCACAGGCGAUAAAAAACUCUCGGCAAAGCCACUGCUAGAAUUUUUCCGUCCUCUCCAAGAUUAUCUCGAGCAAGAGAAUCGCAGAGCUGGCGAAUUUAUUGGCUGGCAUGAAUCGCGUAACCUGUGCCGACACUCGUCCAUGCAUAAGAGGAAAUAAUCGAACUGGAAUCAUUGCUGACUCUGCGAGCAGAGUAAAAUGCGUAGAAUUCUCACAUGUGCUAGAAGGAUUACCAUGUUACAUAUUUUCACAUUUGUCUUUUCGAUUUUCCUCUAUGCACGUGCUCACUUUAUCUUCUUGUCCUUUCUGCACACGCAAUCGAGCGAAUGCAUAUCUUGACAAUGGGCCUCAUUGAGCCUAUCAUCGUGGGAAUAGGUGUCGCAAGUUGCGUCCUCCUAGUCGGACUAACAACGCCUCAUUUUUCCCCCUUUUAUGCCCUCGCAGUUACGU
Cephus cinctus (wheat stem sawfly) is the source of this 2367-nucleotide RNA transcript. It is a transcript of the gene named angiotensin-converting enzyme, with no coding region annotated. The record is from RefSeq and is a predicted model, not a curated record. The transcript is spliced from 14 exons. NCBI's taxonomy places the organism in Eukaryota, Metazoa, Arthropoda, Insecta, Hymenoptera, Cephidae.